GACGAACGCUGGCGGCGUGCUUAACACAUGCAAGUCGAACGGUGAAGCGCCUUCCUUUUUGGUGGGUGUGGAUGAGAGGCGAACGGGUGAGUAACACGUGAGUAACCUGCCCCCUUCUUCUGGAUAACCGCAUGAAAGUGUGGCUAAUACGGGAUAUUCUGGGUCUGUCGCAUGAUGGGUCUGGGAAAGAUAUUGUUUCGGUGGGGGAUGGGCUCGCGGCCUAUCAGCUUGUUGGUGGGGUGAUGGCCUACCAAGGCGGCGAUGAGUAGCCGGCCUGAGAGGGGGGUGGGCGGCCCUAGAAGGGCGGAGCCACGGCCCAGACUCCUGGGGGAGGCAGCAGGGGAGAAUAUGGCACAGUGGGCGGAAGGCUGAUGCAGCGCCGCCGCAGGAGGGAUGGAGGCCUGCGGGUUGUGAACCUCUUUCGCGAGUGAAGCAGGCUUGCCGCGUUUGUGGGUGGGUUGACGGUAGCUGGAUAAGAAGCGCCGGCUAACUACGUG
Molecule: ribosomal RNA, 497 nt
Filed under: uncultured bacterium
Lineage: Bacteria
Description: partial 16S ribosomal RNA
Rfam family: Bacterial small subunit ribosomal RNA
Source: RNAcentral